AUAUUAUCUUCACUUUUGAAUCCAUCGUCUGUAAUACGUAAGUAUGUCAUAUAAUAGCAAGCACACAAGGACAUAGAAAAGUCAAAGGAAUUAAAGAAAUACUUCAGACGUAGCCUUAAGCAAGGCCGGAAAAGCAAAAAUAUUCUUCAAUUGCAAACAAUCAGCGCUCUUGGCGACCUUGACGUUGCGUUUGAGUGUUAUGUCGAUUUACCAGGCAGCCAUACAAAACAGAUAGGCACUUCAGACAAACAUGUACAUCAGACCUCAGACAAACAUGUACAUCAGACUUCAGACAAACAUGUACAUCAGACUUCAGACAAACAUGUACUGUAUCAUGUACAUCUGGCUUCAGACAAACAUGUACAUUAGGCUUCAGACAAACAUGUACAUCAAACUUCAUACAAACAUGUACAUCAAACUUCAUAAAAACAUGUACAUUAGACUUCAGACAAACAUGUACAUCAGAUUUCAGACAAACAUGGACAUCAGACUUCAGACAAACAUGGACAUCAGGCUUCAGACAAACAUGUACAUCAGACUUCAGACAAACAUGUACAUCAAACUUCUUCCCAACAAAAUAAACUAACUGUUCAGUCCCAAAUCUCACAGAGACUUUCAAUAUCAGUAUAGUAGUAUUCAAUAUAUUAAUUGUACCUCAAGAUGUUAUAGGAUAUUCUAUUGUCUCUCAACUCAAAUCUACUUAGUAUUGCCAUUUAGUCUCCACGUGUGUCUCUAUUUUCUGUAGCCCUCACGUCCUGUUCUAAAAUCGCAAAUACAAUUUAAAAAUAAACUAAUUGAAAUUCCCCAUUCUCUAAAAAUAGUAUCCUAGUUUAUUGUACAUUACAUGUACCCAUAUAAACACCUUCCAUAGCAUG
Molecule: non-coding RNA, 875 nt
Organism: Biomphalaria pfeifferi
Lineage: Eukaryota; Metazoa; Mollusca; Gastropoda; Planorbidae
Source: the annotation of a GenBank genome assembly